AGUGGCGGACGGGUGAGUAACGCGUAAGAAUCUAACUUCAGGACGGGGACAACAGUUGGAAACGACUGCUAAUACCCGAUGUGCCGCAAGGUGAAAACUAAUUGGCCUGAAGAAGAGCUUGCGUCUGAUUAGCUAGUUGGUGGGGUAAGAGCCUACCAUGGCGACGAUCUGUAGCUGGUCUGAGAGGAUGAUCAGCCACACUGGGACUGAGACACGGCCCAGACUCCUACGGGAGGCAGCAGUGGGGAAUUUUGGACAAUGGGGGCAGCCCUGAUCCAGCCAUUCCGCGUGAGUGAAGAAGGCCUUCGGGUUGUAAAGCUCUUUUGUCGGGGACGAAACGGUUUUGGUUAAUACCUAAGACUACUGACGGUACCCGAAGAAUAAGCACCGGCUAACUACGUGCCAGCAGCCGCGGUAAUACGUAGGGUGCAAGCGUUAAUCGGAAUUACUGGGCGUAAAGCGUGCGCAGGCGGUUUUGUAAGCCAGAUGUGAAAUCCCCGGGCUUAACCUGGGAAUGGCAUUUGGGACUGCAAGGCUAGAGUACGGCAGAGGAGACUAGAAUUCCUGGUGUAGCAGUGAAAUGCGUAGAUAUCAGGAGGAAUACCGAUGGCGAAGGCAGGUCUCUGGGCUGAUACUGACGCUCAUGCACGAAAGCGUGGGGAGCAAACAGGAUUAGAUACCCUG
RNAcentral lists this ribosomal RNA (684 nucleotides) under uncultured bacterium. RNAcentral's name for it is "bacterial SSU rRNA". It matches the Rfam family "Bacterial small subunit ribosomal RNA", at positions 94 to 789 of the family's 1533-position model. The record is from RNAcentral.